RNAcentral lists this ribosomal RNA (376 nucleotides) under uncultured bacterium. RNAcentral describes it as "bacterial SSU rRNA". It matches the Rfam family "Bacterial small subunit ribosomal RNA", at positions 29 to 404 of the family's 1533-position model. The record is from RNAcentral.
AUUGAACGCUGGCGGCGUGCCUAACACAUGCAAGUCGAGCGGUAACAGGUGUAGCAAUACAUGCUGACGAGCGGCGGACGGGUGAGUAACGCUUGGGAAUCUGCCUGUUAGUGGGGGACAACCCGGGGAAACUCGGGCUAAUACCGCAUACGCACUACGGUGGAAAGCCGGGGACCGCAAGGCCUGGCGCUAACAGAUGAGCCCAAGUCGGAUUAGCUAGUUGGUAGGGUAACGGCCUACCAAGGCGACGAUCCGUAACUGGUCUGAGAGGACGACCAGUCACACCGGAACUGAGACACGGUCCGGACUCCUACGGGAGGCAGCAGUGGGGAAUAUUGGACAAUGGGCGAAAGCCUGACGCAGCGACGCCGCGUGA